RNAcentral lists this unclassified non-coding RNA (576 nucleotides) under Curvularia aeria. Its description in RNAcentral is "sequence contains 18S rRNA gene, ITS1, 5.8S rRNA gene, ITS2, 28S rRNA gene". The stretch from base 207 to 360 matches the Rfam family "5.8S ribosomal RNA". Lineage: Eukaryota; Fungi; Ascomycota; Dothideomycetes; Pleosporales; Pleosporaceae. The record is from RNAcentral.
AGUCGUAACAAGGUCUCCGUAGGUGAACCUGCGGAGGGAUCAUUACACAAUUAAAAUAUGAAGGCUUCGGCUGGAUUAUUUUUAUCACCCUUGUCUUUUGCGCACUUGUUGUUUCCUGGGCGGGUUCGCCCGCCACCAGGACCACACCAUAAACCUUUUUUAUGCAGUUGCAAUCAGCGUCAGUAUAACAAAUGUAAAUCAUUUACAACUUUCAACAACGGAUCUCUUGGUUCUGGCAUCGAUGAAGAACGCAGCGAAAUGCGAUACGUAGUGUGAAUUGCAGAAUUCAGUGAAUCAUCGAAUCUUUGAACGCACAUUGCGCCCUUUGGUAUUCCAAAGGGCAUGCCUGUUCGAGCGUCAUUUGUACCUUCAAGCUUUGCUUGGUGUUGGGCGUCUUUUUGUCUUUGGCCUCGCCCAAAGACUCGCCUUAAAACGAUUGGCAGCCGGCCUACUGGUUUCGCAGCGCAGCACAUUUUUGCGCUUGCAAUCAGCAAAAAGGACGGCAAUCCAUCAAGACUACAUUUUUACGUUUGACCUCGGAUCAGGUAGGGAUACCCGCUGAACCUAAGCAUAUCA